Molecule: long non-coding RNA, 21269 nt
Filed under: Lathyrus oleraceus (garden pea)
Lineage: Eukaryota; Viridiplantae; Streptophyta; Magnoliopsida; Fabales; Fabaceae
Description: Pisum sativum (pea) long non-coding RNA (PSAT_LNC040482)
Source: RNAcentral
UGAAGCCAUCAUAAAUUCCAACGAACAGUGCGUCAUGGCUUACAUCGUCCUAGUUGUGAUCUUCCAUAUCCUUAUUUGACUAACAGAAGCCAUGGAGAAUUCCCCAUGGCAAUGCCUUUCAUUUUUAGGAGAUUUUGGUAAAGGGUCAGCGUUAAAUGUUUCUUGAUAACAAGAAUACUAAUAACACUAUCAAUCUUCUCAUUUCUUGAUAACAAUAUACAAAAAUUAGCAAAAUUUAGCAAAACAAGAAUACUAAUAACACUAUCAAUCUUCUCAUUUCUUGAUAAGAAUAUACAAAAAUAACACUAUCAACCUUCUCAUUUCUUGAUAACAAUAUACAAAAUUUAGCAAAACAAGAACACUAAUAACACUAUCAAUCUUCUCAUUUCUUGAUAAGAAUAUACAAAAUUUAACAAAGCAAGAACACUAAUAACACUAUCAAUCUUCUUAUUUCUUGAUAACAAUAUACAAAAUUUAGCAAAACAAGAACACUAAUAACACUAUCAAUCUUCUCAUUUCUUGAUAACAAUAUACAAAAUUUAGCAAAACAAGAACACUAAUAACACUAUCAAUCUUCUCAUUUCUUGAUAACAAUAUACAAAAUUUAGCAAAACAAGAACACUAAUAACACUAUCAAUCUUCUCAUUUCUUGAUAACAAUAUACAAAAUUUAGCAAAACAAGAACACUAAUAACACUAUCAAUCUUCUCAUUUCUUGAUAACAAUAUACAAAAUUUAGCAAAACAAGAACACUAAUAACACUAUCAAUCUUCUCAUUUCUUGAUAACAAUAUACAAAAUUUAGCAAAACAAGAACACUAAUAACACUAUCAAUCUUCUCAUUUCUUGAUAACAAUAUACAAAAUUUAGCAAAACAAGAACACUAAUAACACUAUCAAUCUUCUCAUUUCUUGAUAACAAUAUACAAAAUUUAGCAAAACAAGAACACUAAUAACACUAUCAAUCUUCUCAUUUCUUGAUAACAAUAUACAAAAUUUAGCAAAACAAGAACACUAAUAACACUAUCAAUCUUCUCAUUUCUUGAUAACAAUAUACAAAAUUUAGCAAAACAAGAACACUAAUAACACUAUCAAUCUUCUCAUUUCUUGAUAACAAUAUACAAAAUUUAGCAAAACAAGAACACUAAUAACACUAUCAAUCUUCUCAUUUCUUGAUAACAAUAUACAAAAUUUAGCAAAACAAGAACACUAAUAACACUAUCAAUCUUCUCAUUUCUUGAUAACAAUAUACAAAAUUUAGCAAAACAAGAACACUAAUAACACUAUCAAUCUUCUCAUUUCUUGAUAACAAUAUACAAAAUUUAGCAAAACAAGAACACUAAUAACACUAUCAAUCUUCUCAUUUCUUGAUAACAAUAUACAAAAUUUAGCAAAACAAGAACACUAAUAACACUAUCAAUCUUCUCAUUUCUUGAUAACAAUAUACAAAAUUUAGCAAAACAAGAACACUAAUAACACUAUCAAUCUUCUCAUUUCUUGAUAACAAUAUACAAAAUUUAGCAAAACAAGAACACUAAUAACACUAUCAAUCUUCUCAUUUCUUGAUAACAAUAUACAAAAUUUAGCAAAACAAGAACACUAAUAACACUAUCAAUCUUCUCAUUUCUUGAUAACAAUAUACAAAAUUUAGCAAAACAAGAACACUAAUAACACUAUCAAUCUUCUCAUUUCUUGAUAACAAUAUACAAAAUUUAGCAAAACAAGAACACUAAUAACACUAUCAAUCUUCUCAUUUCUUGAUAACAAUAUACAAAAUUUAGCAAAACAAGAACACUAAUAACACUAUCAAUCUUCUCAUUUCUUGAUAACAAUAUACAAAAUUUAGCAAAACAAGAACACUAAUAACACUAUCAAUCUUCUCAUUUCUUGAUAACAAUAUACAAAAUUUAGCAAAACAAGAACACUAAUAACACUAUCAAUCUUCUCAUUUCUUGAUAACAAUAUACAAAAUUUAGCAAAACAAGAACACUAAUAACACUAUCAAUCUUCUCAUUUCUUGAUAACAAUAUACAAAAUUUAGCAAAACAAGAACACUAAUAACACUAUCAAUCUUCUCAUUUCUUGAUAACAAUAUACAAAAUUUAGCAAAACAAGAACACUAAUAACACUAUCAAUCUUCUCAUUUCUUGAUAACAAUAUACAAAAUUUAGCAAAACAAGAACACUAAUAACACUAUCAAUCUUCUCAUUUCUUGAUAACAAUAUACAAAAUUUAGCAAAACAAGAACACUAAUAACACUAUCAAUCUUCUCAUUUCUUGAUAACAAUAUACAAAAUUUAGCAAAACAAGAACACUAAUAACACUAUCAAUCUUCUCAUUUCUUGAUAACAAUAUACAAAAUUUAGCAAAACAAGAACACUAAUAACACUAUCAAUCUUCUCAUUUCUUGAUAACAAUAUACAAAAUUUAGCAAAACAAGAACACUAAUAACACUAUCAAUCUUCUCAUUUCUUGAUAACAAUAUACAAAAUUUAGCAAAACAAGAACACUAAUAACACUAUCAAUCUUCUCAUUUCUUGAUAACAAUAUACAAAAUUUAGCAAAACAAGAACACUAAUAACACUAUCAAUCUUCUCAUUUCUUGAUAACAAUAUACAAAAUUUAGCAAAACAAGAACACUAAUAACACUAUCAAUCUUCUCAUUUCUUGAUAACAAUAUACAAAAUUUAGCAAAACAAGAACACUAAUAACACUAUCAAUCUUCUCAUUUCUUGAUAACAAUAUACAAAAUUUAGCAAAACAAGAACACUAAUAACACUAUCAAUCUUCUCAUUUCUUGAUAACAAUAUACAAAAUUUAGCAAAACAAGAACACUAAUAACACUAUCAAUCUUCUCAUUUCUUGAUAACAAUAUACAAAAUUUAGCAAAACAAGAACACUAAUAACACUAUCAAUCUUCUCAUUUCUUGAUAACAAUAUACAAAAUUUAGCAAAACAAGAACACUAAUAACACUAUCAAUCUUCUCAUUUCUUGAUAACAAUAUACAAAAUUUAGCAAAACAAGAACACUAAUAACACUAUCAAUCUUCUCAUUUCUUGAUAACAAUAUACAAAAUUUAGCAAAACAAGAACACUAAUAACACUAUCAAUCUUCUCAUUUCUUGAUAACAAUAUACAAAAUUUAGCAAAACAAGAACACUAAUAACACUAUCAAUCUUCUCAUUUCUUGAUAACAAUAUACAAAAUUUAGCAAAACAAGAACACUAAUAACACUAUCAAUCUUCUCAUUUCUUGAUAACAAUAUACAAAAUUUAGCAAAACAAGAACACUAAUAACACUAUCAAUCUUCUCAUUUCUUGAUAACAAUAUACAAAAUUUAGCAAAACAAGAACACUAAUAACACUAUCAAUCUUCUCAUUUCUUGAUAACAAUAUACAAAAUUUAGCAAAACAAGAACACUAAUAACACUAUCAAUCUUCUCAUUUCUUGAUAACAAUAUACAAAAUUUAGCAAAACAAGAACACUAAUAACACUAUCAAUCUUCUCAUUUCUUGAUAACAAUAUACAAAAUUUAGCAAAACAAGAACACUAAUAACACUAUCAAUCUUCUCAUUUCUUGAUAACAAUAUACAAAAUUUAGCAAAACAAGAACACUAAUAACACUAUCAAUCUUCUCAUUUCUUGAUAACAAUAUACAAAAUUUAGCAAAACAAGAACACUAAUAACACUAUCAAUCUUCUCAUUUCUUGAUAACAAUAUACAAAAUUUAGCAAAACAAGAACACUAAUAACACUAUCAAUCUUCUCAUUUCUUGAUAACAAUAUACAAAAUUUAGCAAAACAAGAACACUAAUAACACUAUCAAUCUUCUCAUUUCUUGAUAACAAUAUACAAAAUUUAGCAAAACAAGAACACUAAUAACACUAUCAAUCUUCUCAUUUCUUGAUAACAAUAUACAAAAUUUAGCAAAACAAGAACACUAAUAACACUAUCAAUCUUCUCAUUUCUUGAUAACAAUAUACAAAAUUUAGCAAAACAAGAACACUAAUAACACUAUCAAUCUUCUCAUUUCUUGAUAACAAUAUACAAAAUUUAGCAAAACAAGAACACUAAUAACACUAUCAAUCUUCUCAUUUCUUGAUAACAAUAUACAAAAUUUAGCAAAACAAGAACACUAAUAACACUAUCAAUCUUCUCAUUUCUUGAUAACAAUAUACAAAAUUUAGCAAAACAAGAACACUAAUAACACUAUCAAUCUUCUCAUUUCUUGAUAACAAUAUACAAAAUUUAGCAAAACAAGAACACUAAUAACACUAUCAAUCUUCUCAUUUCUUGAUAACAAUAUACAAAAUUUAGCAAAACAAGAACACUAAUAACACUAUCAAUCUUCUCAUUUCUUGAUAACAAUAUACAAAAUUUAGCAAAACAAGAACACUAAUAACACUAUCAAUCUUCUCAUUUCUUGAUAACAAUAUACAAAAUUUAGCAAAACAAGAACACUAAUAACACUAUCAAUCUUCUCAUUUCUUGAUAACAAUAUACAAAAUUUAGCAAAACAAGAACACUAAUAACACUAUCAAUCUUCUCAUUUCUUGAUAACAAUAUACAAAAUUUAGCAAAACAAGAACACUAAUAACACUAUCAAUCUUCUCAUUUCUUGAUAACAAUAUACAAAAUUUAGCAAAACAAGAACACUAAUAACACUAUCAAUCUUCUCAUUUCUUGAUAACAAUAUACAAAAUUUAGCAAAACAAGAACACUAAUAACACUAUCAAUCUUCUCAUUUCUUGAUAACAAUAUACAAAAUUUAGCAAAACAACAACACUAAUAACACUAUCAAUCUUCUCAUUUCUUGAUAACAAUAUACAAAUUUAGCAAAACAAGAACACUAAUAACACUAUCAAUCUUCUCAUUUCAUGAUAACAAUAUACAAAAUUUAGCAAAACAAGAACACUAACAACAUUAUCAAUCUCCUUAUUUCUUGAUAACAAUAUACAAAAUUUAGCAAAACAAGAACACUAAUAACACUAUCAAUCUUCUCAUUUCUUGAUAACAAUAUACAAAAUUUAGCAAAAUAAGAACACUAAUAACACUAUAAAUCCUUUCAUUUCUUCAUAACAAUAUACAGGUAAGUAUGCUAAGAAAAAAGAAGCAAAAAAAUAAAUCACGUAAUAGAGUCCUAAAGAUGUGCGUACGGAUAUAGGAAGCAGCGGUGUGGCCUUUGAAGCCAUCAUAAAUUCCAACGAACAGUGCGUCAUGGCUUACAUCGUCCUAGUUGUGAUCUUCCAUAUCCUUAUUUGACUAACAGAAGCCAUGGAGAAUUCCCCAUGGCAAUGCCUUUCAUUUUUGGGAGAUUUUGGUAAAGGGUCAGCGUUAAAUGUUUCUUGAUAACAAGAACACUAAUAACACUAUCAAUCUUCUCAUUUCUUGAUAACAAUAUACAAAAUUUAGCAAAACAAGAACACUAAUAACACUAUCAAUCUUCUCAUUUCUUGAUAACAAUAUACAAAAUUUAGCAAAACAAGAACACUAAUAACACUAUCAAUCUUCUCAUUUCUUGAUAACAAUAUACAAAAUUUAGCAAAACAAGAACACUAAUAACACUAUCAAUCUUCUCAUUUCUUGAUAACAAUAUACAAAAUUUAGCAAAACAAGAACACUAAUAACACUAUCAAUCUUCUCAUUUCUUGAUAACAAUAUACAAAAUUUAGCAAAACAAGAACACUAAUAACACUAUCAAUCUUCUCAUUUCUUGAUAACAAUAUACAAAAUUUAGCAAAACAAGAACACUAAUAACACUAUCAAUCUUCUCAUUUCUUGAUAACAAUAUACAAAAUUUAGCAAAACAAGAACACUAAUAACACUAUCAAUCUUCUCAUUUCUUGAUAACAAUAUACAAAAUUUAGCAAAACAAGAACACUAAUAACACUAUCAAUCUUCUCAUUUCUUGAUAACAAUAUACAAAAUUUAGCAAAACAAGAACACUAAUAACACUAUCAAUCUUCUCAUUUCUUGAUAACAAUAUACAAAAUUUAGCAAAACAAGAACACUAAUAACACUAUCAAUCUUCUCAUUUCUUGAUAACAAUAUACAAAAUUUAGCAAAACAAGAACACUAAUAACACUAUCAAUCUUCUCAUUUCUUGAUAACAAUAUACAAAAUUUAGCAAAACAAGAACACUAAUAACACUAUCAAUCUUCUCAUUUCUUGAUAACAAUAUACAAAAUUUAGCAAAACAAGAACACUAAUAACACUAUCAAUCUUCUCAUUUCUUGAUAACAAUAUACAAAAUUUAGCAAAACAAGAACACUAAUAACACUAUCAAUCUUCUCAUUUCUUGAUAACAAUAUACAAAAUUUAGCAAAACAAGAACACUAAUAACACUAUCAAUCUUCUCAUUUCUUGAUAACAAUAUACAAAAUUUAGCAAAACAAGAACACUAAUAACACUAUCAAUCUUCUCAUUUCUUGAUAACAAUAUACAAAAUUUAGCAAAACAAGAACACUAAUAACACUAUCAAUCUUCUCAUUUCUUGAUAACAAUAUACAAAAUUUAGCAAAACAAGAACACUAAUAACACUAUCAAUCUUCUCAUUUCUUGAUAACAAUAUACAAAAUUUAGCAAAACAAGAACACUAAUAACACUAUCAAUCUUCUCAUUUCUUGAUAACAAUAUACAAAAUUUAGCAAAACAAGAACACUAAUAACACUAUCAAUCUUCUCAUUUCUUGAUAACAAUAUACAAAAUUUAGCAAAACAAGAACACUAAUAACACUAUCAAUCUUCUCAUUUCUUGAUAACAAUAUACAAAAUUUAGCAAAACAAGAACACUAAUAACACUAUCAAUCUUCUCAUUUCUUGAUAACAAUAUACAAAAUUUAGCAAAACAAGAACACUAAUAACACUAUCAAUCUUCUCAUUUCUUGAUAACAAUAUACAAAAUUUAGCAAAACAAGAACACUAAUAACACUAUCAAUCUUCUCAUUUCUUGAUAACAAUAUACAAAAUUUAGCAAAACAAGAACACUAAUAACACUAUCAAUCUUCUCAUUUCUUGAUAACAAUAUACAAAAUUUAGCAAAACAAGAACACUAAUAACACUAUCAAUCUUCUCAUUUCUUGAUAACAAUAUACAAAAUUUAGCAAAACAAGAACACUAAUAACACUAUCAAUCUUCUCAUUUCUUGAUAACAAUAUACAAAAUUUAGCAAAACAAGAACACUAAUAACACUAUCAAUCUUCUCAUUUCUUGAUAACAAUAUACAAAAUUUAGCAAAACAAGAACACUAAUAACACUAUCAAUCUUCUCAUUUCUUGAUAACAAUAUACAAAAUUUAGCAAAACAAGAACACUAAUAACACUAUCAAUCUUCUCAUUUCUUGAUAACAAUAUACAAAAUUUAGCAAAACAAGAACACUAAUAACACUAUCAAUCUUCUCAUUUCUUGAUAACAAUAUACAAAAUUUAGCAAAACAAGAACACUAAUAACACUAUCAAUCUUCUCAUUUCUUGAUAACAAUAUACAAAAUUUAGCAAAACAAGAACACUAAUAACACUAUCAAUCUUCUCAUUUCUUGAUAACAAUAUACAAAAUUUAGCAAAACAAGAACACUAAUAACACUAUCAAUCUUCUCAUUUCUUGAUAACAAUAUACAAAAUUUAGCAAAACAAGAACACUAAUAACACUAUCAAUCUUCUCAUUUCUUGAUAACAAUAUACAAAAUUUAGCAAAACAAGAACACUAAUAACACUAUCAAUCUUCUCAUUUCUUGAUAACAAUAUACAAAAUUUAGCAAAACAAGAACACUAAUAACACUAUCAAUCUUCUCAUUUCUUGAUAACAAUAUACAAAAUUUAGCAAAACAAGAACACUAAUAACACUAUCAAUCUUCUCAUUUCUUGAUAACAAUAUACAAAAUUUAGCAAAACAAGAACACUAAUAACACUAUCAAUCUUCUCAUUUCUUGAUAACAAUAUACAAAAUUUAGCAAAACAAGAACACUAAUAACACUAUCAAUCUUCUCAUUUCUUGAUAACAAUAUACAAAAUUUAGCAAAACAAGAACACUAAUAACACUAUCAAUCUUCUCAUUUCUUGAUAACAAUAUACAAAAUUUAGCAAAACAAGAACACUAAUAACACUAUCAAUCUUCUCAUUUCUUGAUAACAAUAUACAAAAUUUAGCAAAACAAGAACACUAAUAACACUAUCAAUCUUCUCAUUUCUUGAUAACAAUAUACAAAAUUUAGCAAAACAAGAACACUAAUAACACUAUCAAUCUUCUCAUUUCUUGAUAACAAUAUACAAAAUUUAGCAAAACAAGAACACUAAUAACACUAUCAAUCUUCUCAUUUCUUGAUAACAAUAUACAAAAUUUAGCAAAACAAGAACACUAAUAACACUAUCAAUCUUCUCAUUUCUUGAUAACAAUAUACAAAAUUUAGCAAAACAAGAACACUAAUAACACUAUCAAUCUUCUCAUUUCUUGAUAACAAUAUACAAAAUUUAGCAAAACAAGAACACUAAUAACACUAUCAAUCUUCUCAUUUCUUGAUAACAAUAUACAAAAUUUAGCAAAACAAGAACACUAAUAACACUAUCAAUCUUCUCAUUUCUUGAUAACAAUAUACAAAAUUUAGCAAAACAAGAACACUAAUAACACUAUCAAUCUUCUCAUUUCUUGAUAACAAUAUACAAAAUUUAGCAAAACAAGAACACUAAUAACACUAUCAAUCUUCUCAUUUCUUGAUAACAAUAUACAAAAUUUAGCAAAACAAGAACACUAAUAACACUAUCAAUCUUCUCAUUUCUUGAUAACAAUAUACAAAAUUUAGCAAAACAAGAACACUAAUAACACUAUCAAUCUUCUCAUUUCUUGAUAACAAUAUACAAAAUUUAGCAAAACAAGAACACUAAUAACACUAUCAAUCUUCUCAUUUCUUGAUAACAAUAUACAAAAUUUAGCAAAACAAGAACACUAAUAACACUAUCAAUCUUCUCAUUUCUUGAUAACAAUAUACAAAAUUUAGCAAAACAAGAACACUAAUAACACUAUCAAUCUUCUCAUUUCUUGAUAACAAUAUACAAAAUUUAGCAAAACAAGAACACUAAUAACACUAUCAAUCUUCUCAUUUCUUGAUAACAAUAUACAAAAUUUAGCAAAACAAGAACACUAAUAACACUAUCAAUCUUCUCAUUUCUUGAUAACAAUAUACAAAAUUUAGCAAAACAAGAACACUAAUAACACUAUCAAUCUUCUCAUUUCUUGAUAACAAUAUACAAAAUUUAGCAAAACAAGAACACUAAUAACACUAUCAAUCUUCUCAUUUCUUGAUAACAAUAUACAAAAUUUAGCAAAACAAGAACACUAAUAACACUAUCAAUCUUCUCAUUUCUUGAUAACAAUAUACAAAAUUUAGCAAAACAAGAACACUAAUAACACUAUCAAUCUUCUCAUUUCUUGAUAACAAUAUACAAAAUUUAGCAAAACAAGAACACUAAUAACACUAUCAAUCUUCUCAUUUCUUGAUAACAAUAUACAAAAUUUAGCAAAACAAGAACACUAAUAACACUAUCAAUCUUCUCAUUUCUUGAUAACAAUAUACAAAAUUUAGCAAAACAAGAACACUAAUAACACUAUCAAUCUUCUCAUUUCUUGAUAACAAUAUACAAAAUUUAGCAAAACAAGAACACUAAUAACACUAUCAAUCUUCUCAUUUCUUGAUAACAAUAUACAAAAUUUAGCAAAACAAGAACACUAAUAACACUAUCAAUCUUCUCAUUUCUUGAUAACAAUAUACAAAAUUUAGCAAAACAAGAACACUAAUAACACUAUCAAUCUUCUCAUUUCUUGAUAACAAUAUACAAAAUUUAGCAAAACAAGAACACUAAUAACACUAUCAAUCUUCUCAUUUCUUGAUAACAAUAUACAAAAUUUAGCAAAACAAGAACACUAAUAACACUAUCAAUCUUCUCAUUUCUUGAUAACAAUAUACAAAAUUUAGCAAAACAAGAACACUAAUAACACUAUCAAUCUUCUCAUUUCUUGAUAACAAUAUACAAAAUUUAGCAAAACAAGAACACUAAUAACACUAUCAAUCUUCUCAUUUCUUGAUAACAAUAUACAAAAUUUAGCAAAACAAGAACACUAAUAACACUAUCAAUCUUCUCAUUUCUUGAUAACAAUAUACAAAAUUUAGCAAAACAAGAACACUAAUAACACUAUCAAUCUUCUCAUUUCUUGAUAACAAUAUACAAAAUUUAGCAAAACAAGAACACUAAUAACACUAUCAAUCUUCUCAUUUCUUGAUAACAAUAUACAAAAUUUAGCAAAACAAGAACACUAAUAACACUAUCAAUCUUCUCAUUUCUUGAUAACAAUAUACAAAAUUUAGCAAAACAAGAACACUAAUAACACUAUCAAUCUUCUCAUUUCUUGAUAACAAUAUACAAAAUUUAGCAAAACAAGAACACUAAUAACACUAUCAAUCUUCUCAUUUCUUGAUAACAAUAUACAAAAUUUAGCAAAACAAGAACACUAAUAACACUAUCAAUCUUCUCAUUUCUUGAUAACAAUAUACAAAAUUUAGCAAAACAAGAACACUAAUAACACUAUCAAUCUUCUCAUUUCUUGAUAACAAUAUACAAAAUUUAGCAAAACAAGAACACUAAUAACACUAUCAAUCUUCUCAUUUCUUGAUAACAAUAUACAAAAUUUAGCAAAACAAGAACACUAAUAACACUAUCAAUCUUCUCAUUUCUUGAUAACAAUAUACAAAAUUUAGCAAAACAAGAACACUAAUAACACUAUCAAUCUUCUCAUUUCUUGAUAACAAUAUACAAAAUUUAGCAAAACAAGAACACUAAUAACACUAUCAAUCUUCUCAUUUCUUGAUAACAAUAUACAAAAUUUAGCAAAACAAGAACACUAAUAACACUAUCAAUCUUCUCAUUUCUUGAUAACAAUAUACAAAAUUUAGCAAAACAAGAACACUAAUAACACUAUCAAUCUUCUCAUUUCUUGAUAACAAUAUACAAAAUUUAGCAAAACAAGAACACUAAUAACACUAUCAAUCUUCUCAUUUCUUGAUAACAAUAUACAAAAUUUAGCAAAACAAGAACACUAAUAACACUAUCAAUCUUCUCAUUUCUUGAUAACAAUAUACAAAAUUUAGCAAAACAAGAACACUAAUAACACUAUCAAUCUUCUCAUUUCUUGAUAACAAUAUACAAAAUUUAGCAAAACAAGAACACUAAUAACACUAUCAAUCUUCUCAUUUCUUGAUAACAAUAUACAAAAUUUAGCAAAACAAGAACACUAAUAACACUAUCAAUCUUCUCAUUUCUUGAUAACAAUAUACAAAAUUUAGCAAAACAAGAACACUAAUAACACUAUCAAUCUUCUCAUUUCUUGAUAACAAUAUACAAAAUUUAGCAAAACAAGAACACUAAUAACACUAUCAAUCUUCUCAUUUCUUGAUAACAAUAUACAAAAUUUAGCAAAACAAGAACACUAAUAACACUAUCAAUCUUCUCAUUUCUUGAUAACAAUAUACAAAAUUUAGCAUAACAAGAACACUAACAACAUUAUCAAUCUCCUUAUUUCUUGAUAACAAUAUACAAAAUUUAGCAAAACAAGAACACUAAGAACACUAUCAAUCUUCUCAUUUCUUGAUAACAAUAUACAAAAUUUAGCAAAACAAGAACACUAAUAACACUAUCAAUCUUCUCAUUUGUUGAUAACAAUAUACAAAAUUUAGCAAAACAAGAACACUAAUAACACUAUCAAUCUUCUCAUUUGUUGAUAACAAUAUACAAAAUUUAGCAAAACAAGAACACUAAUAACACUAUCAAUCUUUUCAAUUUUUCAUAACAAUAUACAGGUAAGUAUGCUAAGAAAAAAGAAGCAAAAAAAUAACUCACGAAAUAGAGUCCUGAAGAUGUGCGUACGGAUAUAGGAAGCAGCGGUGUGGCCUUUGAAGCCAUCAUAAAUUCCAACGAAUAGUGCGUCAUGGCUUACAUCGUCGUAGUUGUGAUCUUCCAUAUCCUUAUUUGACUAACAGAAGCCAUGGAGAAUUCCCCAUGGCAAUGCCUUUCAUUUUUGGGAGAUUUUGGUAAAGGGUCAGCGUUAAAUGUUUCUUGAUAACAAGAACACUAAUAACACUAUCAAUCUUCUCAUUUCUUGAUAACAAUAUACAAAAAUUAGCAAAACAAGAACACUAAUAACACUAUCAAUCUUCUCAUUUCUUGAUAACAAUAUACAAAAUUUAGCAAAACAAGAACACUAAUAACACUAUCAAUCUUCUCAUUUCUUGAUAACAAUAUACAAAAAUUAGCAAAACAAGAACACUAAUAACACUAUCAAUCUUCUCAUUUCUUAAUAACAAUUUACAAAAUUUAGCAAAACAAGAACACUAAUAACACUAUCAAUCUUUUCAUUUCUUCAUAACAAUAUACAGGUAAGUAUGCUAAGAAAAAAGAAGCAAAAAAAUAACUCACGCAAUAGAGUCCUAAAGAUGUGCGUACGGAUAUAGGAAGCAGCGGUGUGGCCUUUGAAGCCAUCAUAAAUUCCAACGAACUGUGCGUCAUGGCUUACAUCGUCCUAGUUGUGACCUUCCAUAUCCUUAUUUAACUAACAGAAGCCAUGGAGAAUUCCCCAUGGCAAUGCCUUUCAUUUUUGGGAGAUUUUGAUAAAGGGCCAGCGUUAAAUGUUUCUUGAUAACAAGAACACUAAUAACACUAUCAAUCUUCUCAUUUCUUGAUAACAAUAUACAAAAUUUAGCAAAACAAGAACACUAAUAACACUAUCAAUCUUCUCAUUUCUUGAUAACAAUAUACAAAAUUUAGCAAAACAAGAACACUAAUAACACUAUCAAUCUUCUCAUUUCUUGAUAACAAUAUACAAAAUUUAGCAAAACAAGAACACUAAUAACACUAUCAAUCUUCUCAUUUCUUGAUAACAAUAUACAAAAUUUAGCAAAACAAGAACACUAAUAACACUAUCAAUCUUCUCAUUUCUUGAUAACAAUAUACAAAAUUUAGCAAAACAAGAACACUAAUAACACUAUCAAUCUUCUCAUUUCUUGAUAACAAUAUACAAAAUUUAGCAAAACAAGAACACUAAUAACACUAUCAAUCUUCUCAUUUCUUGAUAACAAUAUACAAAAUUUAGCAAAACAAGAACACUAAUAACACUAUCAAUCUUCUCAUUUCUUGAUAACAAUAUACAAAAUUUAGCAAAACAAGAACACUAAUAACACUAUCAAUCUUCUCAUUUCUUGAUAACAAUAUACAAAAUUUAGCAAAACAAGAACACUAAUAACACUAUCAAUCUUCUCAUUUCUUGAUAACAAUAUACAAAAUUUAGCAAAACAAGAACACUAAUAACACUAUCAAUCUUCUCAUUUCUUGAUAACAAUAUACAAAAUUUAGCAAAACAAGAACACUAAUAACACUAUCAAUCUUCUCAUUUCUUGAUAACAAUAUACAAAAUUUAGCAAAACAAGAACACUAAUAACACUAUCAAUCUUCUCAUUUCUUGAUAACAAUAUACAAAAUUUAGCAAAACAAGAACACUAAUAACACUAUCAAUCUUCUCAUUUCUUGAUAACAAUAUACAAAAUAGAGAGAUCAAAUACAAGAACACUAUAACACUAUCAAUCUCUCAUUUCUUGAUAACAUAUACAAAAUUUAGCAAACAAGAACACUAAUAACACUAUCAUCUUCUCAUUUCUUGAUAACAAUAUACAAAAUUUAGCAAACAAGAACACUAAUAACACUAUCAAUCUUCUCAUUUUCUGAUAACAAUAUACAAAAUUUAGCAAAACAAGAACACUAAUAACAUCUAUCAUCUCCUUAUUCUUGAUAACAAUAUACAAAAUUUAGCAAACAAGAACACUAAUAACAUUAUCAAUCUUCUCAUUUCUUGAUAACAAUAUACAAAAUUUAGCAAAACAAGAACACUAAUAACACUAUCAAUCUUCUCAUUUCUUGAUAACAAUACAAAAUUUAGCAAAAGAACAACUAUAACACUAUCAAUCUUUUCAUUUCUUGAUAACAUAUACAAAUUUAGCAAACAAGAACACUAAUAACACUAUCAUCUUCUAUUUUUGAUACAAAUAUAAAAAUUUAGCAAAACAAGAACACUAAUAACACUAUCAUCUUCUCAUUUCUUGAUAACAAUAUACAAAAUUUAGCAAACAAGAACACUAAAAACACUAUCAAUCUUCUCAUUUCUUGUAACAAUAUACAAAAUUUAGCAAAACAAGAACACUAAUAACACUAUCAAUCUUUCAUUUCUUGAUAACAUUUACAAAAUUUAGCAAAACAAGAACACUAAUAACACUAUCAUCUUUCUCAUUCUUGAUAACAAUAUACAAAUUUUAGCAAAACAAGAACACUAUAACACUAUCAAUCUUCUCAUUUCUUGAUAACAAUAUACAAAAUUUAGCAAACAAGAACACUAUAACACUAUCAAUCUUUUCAUUUCUUGAUAACAAUAUACAAAAUUUAGCAAAACAAGAACACUAAUAACACUAUCAUUCUUCUCAUUUCUUGAUAACAUAUACAAAAUUUAGCAAAACAAGAACACUAAUAACACUAUCAAUCUUCUCAUUUCUUGAAACAAUAUACAAAAUUUAGCAAACAAGAACACUAAUAAACUAUCAAUCUUCUCAUUUCUUGAUAACAAUAUACAAAAUUAGCAAAACAAGAACACAUAAUACACUAUCAAUCUUCUCAUUUCUUGAUAACAAUAUACAAAUUUAGCAAAACAACAACACUAAUAACACUAUCAAUCUUCUCAUUUCUUGAUAACAAUAUACAAAUUUAGCAAAACAAGAACACUAAUAACACUAUCAAUCUUCUCAUUUCUUGAUAACAAUAUACAAAAUUUAGAAAAACAAGAACACUAACAACAUUAUCAAUCUCCUUAUUUCUUGAUAACAAUAUACAAAAUUUAGCAAAACAAGAACACUAAAAACACUAUCAAUCUUAUCAUUUCUUGAUUACAAUAUACAAAAUUUAGCAAAACAAGAACACUACUAACACUAUCAAUCUUCUCAUUUCUUGAUAACAAUAUACAAAAUUUAGCAAAACAAGAACACUAAUAACACUAUCAAUCUUUUCAUUUCUUCAUAACAAUAUACAGGGAAGUAUGCUAAGAAAAAAGAAGCAAAAAAAUAACUCACGUAACAGAGUCCUAAAGAUGUGCGUACGGAUAUAGGAAGCAGCGGUGUGGCCUUUGAAGCCAUCAUAAAUUCCAACGAACAGUGCGUCAUGGCUUACAUCGUCCUAGUUGUGAUCUUCCAUAUCCUUAUUUUACUAACAGAAGCAAUGGAGAAUUCCCCAUGGCAAUGCCUUUCAUUUUUGGGAGAUUUUGGUAAAGGGUCAGCGUUAAAUGUUUCUUGAUAACAAGAACACUAAUAACACUAUCAAUCUUCUCAUUUCUUGAUAAUAAUAUACAAAAAUUAGCAAAACAAGAACACUUAUCAGACUAUCAACCUUCUCAUUUUUUGAUAACAAUAUACAAAAUUUAGCAAAACAAGAACACUAAUAACACUAUCAAUCUUCUCAUUUCUUGACAACAAUAUACAAAAUUUAGCAAAACAAGAACACUAAUAACACUAUCAAUCUUCUCAUUUCUUGAUAACAAUAUACAAAAUUUAGCAAAACAAGAACACUAAUAACACUAUCAAUCUUCUCAUUUCUUGAUAACAAUAUACAAAAUUUAGCAAAACAAGAACACUAGUAACACUAUCAAUCUUCUCAUUUUUUUGAUAACAAUAUACAAAAUUUAGCAAAACAAGAACACUAAUAACACUAUCAAUCUUCUCAUUUCUUGACAACAAUAUACAAAAUUUAGCGAAACAAGAACACUAAUAACACUAUCAAUAUUCUCAUUUCUUGAUAACAAUAUACAAAAUUAGCAAAACAAGAACACUAAUAACACUAUCAAUCUUCUAAUUUCUAGAUAACAAUAUACAAAAUUUUAGCAAAACAACAACACUAAUAACACUAUCAAUCUUCUCAUUUCUUGAUAACAAUAUACAAAUUUAGCAAAACAAGAACACUAAUAACACUAUCAAUCUUCUUAUUUCUUGAUAACAAUAUACAAAAUUUAGCAAAACAAGAACACUAACAACAUUAUCAAUCUCCUUAUUUCUUGAUAACAAUAUACAAAAUUUAGCAAAACAAGAACACUAAAAACACUAUCAAUCUUCUCAUUUCUUGAUAACAAUAUUAACAAAAUUUAGCAAAACAAGAAACACUAAUAACACUAUCAAUUUUCUCAUUUCUUGAUAACAAUAUACAAAUUUAGCAAAACAAGAACACUAAUAACACUAUCAAUCUUCUCAUUCUUGAUAACAAUAUACAAAAUUUAGCAAACAAGAACACUAAUAACACUAUCAAUCUUCUCAUUCUUGAUAACAAUAUACAAAUUUAGCAAAACAAGAACUACUAACACUAUCAAUCUUCUCAUUUCUUGAUAACAAUAUACAAAAUUUAGCAAAACAAGAACAUAAUAACACUAUCAAUCUUCUCAUUUCUUGAUAACAAUAUACAAAAUUAGCAAAACAAGAACAUAAUAACACUAUCAAUCUUCUAUUUCUGUAACAAUAUACAAAAUUUAGCAAAACAAAACACUAAUAACACUAUCAAUCUUCUCAUUUCUUGAUAACAAUAUACAAAUUUAGCAAAACAAGAACACUAAUAACACUAUCAAUCUUCUCAUUUCUUGAUACAAUACAACAAAUUUAGCAAACAAGAACACUAAAACACAUCAUCUCUUAUUUCUUGAUAACAUUACAAAAUUUAGCAAACAAGAACACUAAUAAACUAUCAAUCUUCUCAUUUCUGAUAACAAUAUACAAAUUUAGCAAAACAAGAACACUAUAACACUAUCAAUCUUCUCAUUUCUUAGAAACAAUAUACAAAAUUUAGCAAAACAAGAACACUAAUAACACUUCAAUCUUCUCAUUCUUGAUAACAAUAUACAAAAUUUAGCAAAACAAGAACCACUAAUAACACUAUCAAUCUUCUCAUUUCUUGAUAACAAUAUACAAAAUUUAGCAAAACAAGAACACUAUAACACUAUCAAUCUUCUCAUUUUUUUGAUAACAAUAUACAAAAUUUAGCACAAACAGAACACUAUCUAAUCUUCUCAUUUCUUGAAACAAUAUACAAAAUUUAGCAAAACAAGAACACUAAAACUAUCAAUUUCUCAUUUCUUGAUAACAAUAUACAAAAUUUAGCAAAACAAAGAAACACUAAUAACACUAUCAAUCUUCUCAUUUUCUGAUAACAAUAUACAAAAUUUAGCAAACAAAACACUAAUAACACUAUCAAUCUUCUCAUUUCUUGAUAACAUAUAACAAAUUUAGCAAAAACAAGAACACUAAUAACACUAUCAAUCUUCUAUUUCUUGAUAACAAUAUACAAAAUUUAGCAAAAAACAAGAACACUAACAACUAUCAAUCUCUUAUUUUCUUGAUAACAAUAUACAAAUUUUAGCAAAACAAGAACACUAAUAACACUAUCAAUCUUCUCAUUUCUUGAUAACAAUAUACAAAAUUUAGCAAAACAAGAACACUAAUAACACUAUCAAUCUUCUCAUUUCUUGUAACAAUUACAAAAUUUAGCAAACAAGAACACUAAUAACACUAUAAUCUUCUCAUUUCUAUAACAAUAUACAGUAGUAUUAAGAAAAAAGACGCAAAAAAAUAACUCACUAAUAACCCUAACGAAUGUGCGUACAUAUAGAAAGCAGCGUUCUUAACAUCUAAAUUCCACGAACAGUGCGUCAUGCUUACAUCGUCCUAGUUGUGAUCUUCAUAUCUUAUUUGACUAAAAAGCAUGGAGAAUUCCCAUGCAAUGCUUCUCAUUUUUGAAUUUUUAAAGGGUCAGCGUUAAAUGUUUCUUGAAACAAGAACACUAAUAACACUAUCAAUCUUCUCAUUUCUUGAUAACAAUAUACAAAAAUUAGCAAAACAAAAAACACUAAUAACACUAUCAACCUUCUCAUUUCUUGAUAACAAUUAUACAAUUUAGCAAACAAGACUAUACACUAUCAAUCUUCUCUUUUUGAUAACAAUAUACAAAUUUAGCAAACAAGAACACUAAUACACUAUCAAUCUUCUCAUUUCUUGAAACAAUAUACAAAAUUUAGCAAACAAGAAAAACUAAUAACAUAUCAAUCUUCUCAUUUCUUGAUAACAUAUACAAAAUUUAGCAAAACAAGAAACAUAAUAAACUAUCAAUCUUCUUUUCUUGAUAACAAUAUACAAAAUUUAGCAAAACAAGAACACUAAUAACACUAUCAAUCUUCUCAUUUCUUGAUAACAAUAUACAAAUUUAGCAAAAACAAGAACACUAAUAACACUAUCAUCUUCUCAUUUCUUGAUAACAAUAUACAAAUUUAGCAAAACAAGAACACUAAAACAUUAUCAAUCUCCUUAUUUCUUUAAACAAUAAUCAAAAUUUAGCAAACCAAGAACACUAAAAACACAAAUCAAUCUUCUCAUUUCUUGAUAACAAUAUACAAAAUUUAGAAAAACAAGAACACUAAUAACACUAUCAAUCUUCUCAUUUCUUGAUAACAAUAUACAAAAUUUAGCAAAACAAGAACACUAAUAACACUAUCAAUCUUCUCUUUCAGUACAAUUCCAAACAAGAACACUAAUAACACUAUCAUCUUCUCAUUUCUGAUAACAAUAUACAAAAUUAGCAAAAAACAGAACACUAAUACCACUAUCAACUUCUCAUUUCUUGAUAACAAUAUACAAAAUUUAGCAAAACAAGAACACUAAUAACACUAUCAAUCUUCCUCAUUUCUUGGAUAAAAUAUCCAAAUUUAGCAAAACAAGAACACUAUAACAACUAUCAAUCUUCCUAUUUCUUGAUAACAAUAUACAAAAUUUAGCAAAAGAACACUAAUAACACUAUCAAUCUUCUCAUUUCUUGAUAAAAUAUACAAAAUUUAGCAAAACAAGACACUAAUAACACUAUCAAUCUUCUCAUUUCUUGAUAAAAUAUACAAAAUUUAGCAAAACAAGAACACUAAUAACUAUCAAUCUUCUCAUUUCUUGAUAACAAUAUACAAAAUUUAGCAAAACAAGAACACUAUAACACUAUCAAUCUUCUCAUUUUUGAUAACAAUAUACAAAAUUUAGCAAAACAAGAACACUAAUAACACUAUCAAUCUUCUCAUUUCUUGACAAGAAAUAAAAACUUGAAACAAGAACCUAUAAACACUAUCAAUCUUCUCAUUUCUUGAUAACAAUAUACAAAAUUAGCAAAACAAGAACACUAAACAACAUUAUCAUCUCUUAUUUCUUGAUAACAAUAUAAAAACAAAUUUAGCAAAACAAGAAACACUAAUCAACACUAUCAUUCUUCUCAUUUCUUGAUAACAAUAUACAAAUUAGCAAAACAAGAACACUAAUAACACUAUCAAUCUUCUCAUUUCUUGAUAACAAUAUACAAAAUUUAGCAAAACAAGACACUAAUAACACUAUCAAUCUUCAUUUCUUGAUAACAAUAUACAAAAUUUAGCAAAACAAGCACUAAUAACACUAUAUCUUCUCAUCUUCUAAAUAUACUUUAGCAAAACAAGAACACUAAUAACACUAUCAUCUUCUCAUUUCUUGAUAACAAUAUACAAAUUUAGCAAAAACAGACACUAAUAACACUAUCAAUCUUCUCAUUUCUUGUAACAAUAUACAAAAUUUAGCAAAACAAGAACACUAAUAACACUAUCAAUCUUUCUCAUUUCUUGAUAACAAUAUACAAAAUUUAGCAAACAAGAACACUAAUAACACUAUCAAUCUUCUCAUUUCUGAUAACAAUAUAACAAAUUUAGCAAAACAAGAACACUAAUAACACUAUCAAUCUUUCAUUUCUUGAUAACAAUAUACAAAAUUUAGCAAACAAGAACACUAAUAACACUAUCAAUCUUCUCAUUUUUGUGAACAAUAUACAAAAUUUAGCAAAACAAGAACACUAAUAACACUAUCAAUCUUCUCAUUUCUUGAUAACAAUAUACAAAAUUUAGCAAAACAAGAACACUAAUAACACUAUCAAUCUUCUCAUUUCUUGAUAACAAUAUACAAAAUUAGCAAAACAAGAAACUAAUAACACUAUCAAUCUUCUCAUUUCUUGAUAACAAUAUACAGUAAGUAUGCUAAGAAAAAGAAGCAAAAAAUAACUCACGUAAUAGUCCUAUAAGAUGUGCGUACGAUAUAGGAAGCAGUGUGGCCUUUGAAGCCAUCAUAAAUUCCAACGAACAGUGCGUCAUGGCUUACAUGUCGCUAGUUGUGAUCUUCCAUAUCCUUAUUUUGCUAACAGAAGCAUGGAGAAUUCCCAUGGCAAUGCCUUUCAUUUUUGGGAGAUUUUUGUAAAGGUCAGCGGUUAAAUGUUUCUUGAUAACAGACAUAAUAACACUAUCAAUUUCUCAUUUCUUGUAACAAUAUACAAAAUUAGCAAAAAAGAACACAAUAAACUAUCAACUUCUCAUUUCUGAUAACAAUAUACAAAAUUAGCAAAACAAAACACUAUAACACUAUCAAUCUUCUCAUUUCUUGAUAAAAUUAAAAUUUAGCAAAAUAAGAACACUAAUAACACUAUCAAUCUCUUAUUUUUGAUAACAAUAUACAAAAUUGCAAAAAAGAACUAUCCUCAUCUCCAUUCUUGAUAACAAUAUAAAAUUUAGCAAAACAAAUAAUAACAUAUCAUCUCAUUUCUUGAUAACAAUAUACAAAAUUUAGCAAAACAAGAACACUAAUAACACUAUCAAUCUUCUCAUUUCUUGAUAACAAUAUACAAAUUUAGCAAAACAAGAAACACUAAUAACACUAUCAAUCUUUCAUUCUUAUAACAAUAUACAGAUAAGUAUGCUAAGAAAAAGAAGCAAAAAAUAAUACUCACGAAUAGAGUCCUAAAGAUGUGCGUACGGAUAUAGGAAGCAGCGUGUGGCCUUUGAAGCCAUCAUAAAUUCCAACGAACAGUGCGUCAUGCUUACAUCGAUCCUACGUUGUGAUCUUCCAUAUCCUUAUUUGACUAAAGAGCAUGGAGAAUUCCCCAUGGCAAUGCCUUUCAUUUUGGAGAGAUUUUGUAAAGGGUCAGCGUCAAAGUUUCUUGAUAACAAGAAACACUAAUAACACUAUCAUCUUCUCAUUUCUUGAUACAAUAUACAAAAAUAGCAAACAAAACACUAAUAACACUAUCAACCUUCUCAUUUCUUGAUAACAAUAUACAAAAUUUAGCAAAACAAAGAAACACUAAUAACACUAUCAAUCUUCUCAUUUUUUGAUAACAAUA